AGAAUCUGGUAUAAGGAAGUCAGAUCCUUCUGUAAUAAUAUUCACUGAUACAAAUAUGAUCUGUAGUUAAUUAAAUAGUCGGGAUUUAUACUAGAGAAUGUUUCUGACGUUAUAUUGUUGUCUUUUGUUGCAGACACCAAGUGCCGAGGUCCUGUCUCAACCUCCUUCAGACCAAUUGGCUCAAGGACCAAGUAUUCCGGGGGUUCCAAGCCACACGCUUUACUCAGCUGCCCUGGACAACAUGAAGGGCACCUCUGCCUCAAUCACCCUGGACAACAAAAACAUUAGCAACACUUCACCAAGAAGGGCUGGGACGGUGAGAAGCAAGUGGACAAAUGAUGAAGUGAAGGUUGCUGAGCGGCACGUUUCACUUCAUAAAAAGCUGCAAAGUACCAGGUAAAAAGGAAUGUGACUGCUGCCUCCAAGCAGAGCCGGCAGCUCUGAAAGGCAGAGACUGGGUUUUCAUAAGGUACUACAGCCACAACAGGAUCAUAGCAUUAAAAGAAAGAUGCAAGAAAAAAAGAAACAAGCAAGAGAGAUACUUUGUUACUUCCACAGUUAUGUCAGUAUUGCAGUUUUCUGUAUUGCAUUGUUCUUACUCAUAAAUCUGUGGUUUAUGCUGGGUGCUUUUUGCAAUUAAAUGAUAAAAAAGGCA
This is a non-coding RNA of Maylandia zebra (zebra mbuna), 655 nucleotides long. NCBI's taxonomy places the organism in Eukaryota, Metazoa, Chordata, Actinopteri, Cichliformes, Cichlidae. The record is from RefSeq and is a predicted model, not a curated record.